Molecule: ribosomal RNA, 445 nt
Filed under: uncultured bacterium
Lineage: Bacteria
Description: partial 16S ribosomal RNA
Rfam family: Bacterial small subunit ribosomal RNA
Source: RNAcentral
GUAGGGAAUAUUGGGCAAUGGAUGAAAGUCUGACCCAGCCAUGCCGCGUGCCGGAUGAAGGCGCUCAGCGUUGUAAACGGCUUUUAUUCGGGAAGAAGAGCAGGGAUGCGUCCCUGUGUGACGGUACCGAAUGAAUAAGCACCGGCUAACUCCGUGCCAGCCGCCGCGGUAAUACGGAGGGUGCGAGCGUUGUCCGGAUUUAUUGGGUUUAAAGGGUGCGUAGGUGGCCAAAUAAGUCAGUGGUGAAAUACGGUUGCUCAACAAUCGAGGUGCCCGUGUUACUGCUUGGCUUGACAUAAUUGGGGGCUGCCGGAAUGGAUGGUGUAGCGGUGCAAUGCAUAGAUAUCAUCCAGAACACCGAUUGCGAAGGCUGGUGGCUACGAUUUAUUUGACACUGGGGCACGAAAGCAUGGGGAGCAAACAGGAUUAGAAACCCUGGUAGUCC